RNAcentral lists this ribosomal RNA (426 nucleotides) under uncultured Actinomycetes bacterium. RNAcentral describes it as "bacterial SSU rRNA". It matches the Rfam family "Bacterial small subunit ribosomal RNA", at positions 958 to 1385 of the family's 1533-position model. Lineage: Bacteria; Bacillati; Actinomycetota; Actinomycetes. The record is from RNAcentral.
AACGCGAAGAACCUUACCUGGGCUUGACAUGUGAGUGACCGGCGUGGAAACACGUCUUCCCUUCGGGGCACUUUCACAGGUGGUGCAUGGCUGUCGUCAGCUCGUGUCGUGAGAUGUUGGGUUAAGUCCCGCAACGAGCGCAACCCCCGUCGCAUGUUGCCAGCAUUUAGUUGGGGACUCAUGCGAGACUGCCGGUGACAAACCGGAGGAAGGUGGGGAUGACGUCAAGUCCUCAUGCCCCUUAUGUCCAGGGCUACACACGUGCUACAUUGGCGCAUACAGAGGGCUGCGAUACCGCGAGGUGGAGCGAAUCCCUUAAAGUGCGUCUCGGUUCGGAUUGCAGGCUGAAAUUCGCCUGCAUGAAGGCGGAGUUGCUAGUAAUCGCGGAUCAGCAUUGCCGCGGUGAAUACGUUCCCGGGCCUUGUA